Molecule: non-coding RNA, 2285 nt
Organism: Zea mays
Lineage: Eukaryota; Viridiplantae; Streptophyta; Magnoliopsida; Poales; Poaceae
Source: RefSeq, a predicted model, not a curated record
GGAUUCUGUGCCAAAAGAGGGGUUAAAGGAACGAAUUCUGAUUCCCGUGGACCGACAAGGAGCAGCUGGGAAACGGAGCGCCACAAGCCCACAACUCUCGCGCAGGCUUCUCUCCCAUCUCCGCCCUUCCCGAAGCAGCACGGUGCAGGCCGCGGACCCGCGGUUUCUCCACAGAAUCCCGCUCCACGCACGUCGCCCCCGUCGCCGGCGAGGCGGCUGUGCUGCUGCGUACUCCCCUGGUUCCAACUCUGAACCGGCCACCCUCUCCUGCUCCGCGACCUCGAGUAACUUUUUGAGUACCAGUGAUGCAAAGGGACACAAGCUCUAGCGAUGUUUCUGCUUCUCAUGUAGGACGUGUAAGACGUCGCAAACAUCCAACUGAGGCUACCACAGAUGGGAAUAGAGCUAAUGGACAGCCAUUGCUUGUCAAUGAUCAGAACAAAUAUAAAUCAAUGCUUACCCGUACGUAUUCUACAGUAUGGAUGAUUGGAGGCUUUGCCUUUAUUAUUUAUAUGGGUCAUCUAUAUAUCUGGGCUAUGGUGGUUGUGAUUCAAAUAUACAUGGCAAGAGAACUUUUCAAUUUACUCAGAAAAUCCAGUGAAGAGAAACAACUGCCAGGGUUCAGGGUCCUGAAUUGGCACUUCUUUUUCACGGCAAUGCUGUACACUUAUGGGCGCUUUCUUAGUCGUCAGCUGGUGAAUACAGUGACUUCAGAUCACUUGCUUUAUAAGGUCGUCAGUGGCCUAAUUAAGUAUCAGAUGUUUAUCUGCUAUUUCCUUUAUAUUGCAGGGUUUGUAUGGUUUAUUUUGACUCUCAAGAAAAAGACAUACAAGUAUCAGUUCAAACAGUAUGCCUGGACACACAUGAUACUUUUAACAGUUUUUGCACAGUCUGCUUUCACUGUGGCAAACAUAUUUGAAGGGAUAUUCUGGUUUCUUUUGCCUGCUUCACUUAUUGUGAUCAACGAUAUUUUUGCUUAUUUAUUUGGGUUCUUUCUUGGGAGAACACCAUUAAUCAAGUUGUCUCCAAAGAAAACUUGGGAAGGUUUUAUUGGUGCAUCAGUGACAACUAUCAUCUCUGCGUUUCUGUUAGCAAAUGUAAUGGGCCAUUCGCAAUGGUUGACAUGCCCAAGAAAGGAUCUGUUGACUGGGUGGCUUUAUUGUGAUCCUGGUCCAAUGUUUAAGCCAGAGCAUUACUCAUUGGGAGAGUGGGUGCCGCAUUGGAUAACAGCAAGGGAAAGCAGCCAACUCACAAGGCAGUAUAUUCUGCAGCACAACAAGGUCUUGAUCUACACACUGCUCUUCUGGACAUUCGUACGUAAUCCCGAAGCCUCUCCAAAAAGCUGAAGAAUAUCCAAAAUAAUAUUGAUAUCCAUGGCUGCCGCUCGAAGGAAGAUCACAUCAUCAGCAUAGAGUUGAGACCUGGUGCUGCAGUGCACGUGGAGCAAGGGGCUGCAGCAGUCCAUCCUGUUCGGCCUUAUUAAUCAAGAAGCCCAAAGUAUCCAAUUAUCGAUGACCAAGAUGAACAGAAAAGGAGACAAAGGAUCUCUCUGUCGGAGGCCACGACGAUGAAGAAUAGACUGUCAUAGGCAAACUGAUGUGUUCCCAUGGAAAGAACUAGCUAUUAUGCCUGUGCAGUGGCAUGCUUUAGCCCUAGGUUUAUUUGCAUCAAUAAUAGCACCAUUUGGAGGAUUUUUUGCGAGUGGCUUCAAGAGGGCUUUUAAAAUUAAGGAUUUUGGUGACAGCAUACCUGGGCAUGGUGGAAUUACUGACAGAAUGGAUUGUCAAAUGGUUAUGGCAGUGUUUGCAUACAUAUACCACCAAUCAUUCAUUGCACCUCAGAACUUCUCUGUUGAGAUAAUCUUGGAUCAGAUUAUAAGAAACCUAACCUAUGAGGAGCAAAAAUAUGUAUAUGAACAACUUGGGGAAAUGUUCCGUGAGAGGCAAUUGGCUCAUUGGCUGAAAGCUGAGAGUUAGCGUGCUUAUGAAAUGCAUGAUAUGUUGUGCAUUUAGUUCAUGUAUGGCAGCAUGCCAGCAUGUUAUGAAUGUAUACGGAGCCCUUGCCCAAACCAUUGUAUAGAAUGGUAGAAUGGAGAGAAUGAAUGGGUUGUAGGUGCUUUAUUCACUCUCUAGUCUCCACUGACGCUGCCUAUAAUUCACUCCCCCUGUCAUCGUUUCUGCAGUCUGUGUAAAAGGGAACCUGGAAAGUUUUAUUCUUUCCACUUCGUGGUGCUGGGCUCAGAUCAAAUAUUCGAGGAUUCACAAUAUAUCCCCGAUGUUUUACCA